CAAAAAGUAGUAUAAAGUUUACAACUUGCUUACACCAAGUAAAAGGUCUCCAAACCCUUUUUGA
This 64-nucleotide transfer RNA is filed under the name Rectidens sumatrensis. RNAcentral describes it as "tRNA-Val". The record is from RNAcentral. Lineage: Eukaryota; Metazoa; Mollusca; Bivalvia; Unionida; Unionidae.